Molecule: long non-coding RNA, 671 nt
Organism: Panthera uncia (snow leopard)
Lineage: Eukaryota; Metazoa; Chordata; Mammalia; Carnivora; Felidae
Exons: 2
Source: RefSeq, a predicted model, not a curated record
GCCCCCUCUUUCCCUCCCCCGGACCCCGCGUGCCCACGGGGCUGUCCGGGUGCAGGGCCCCCGCGUCCAGAAGGACUGGACGGAGAGGCACAGGUGCUGGGGGCUGUCAUGUGCCCAGGACCCCACCUGGAGGGCGGAGCAGGGUGCUGCUAACCUCAGGACAGUUACCUUAAGGAAAAUUCCGCCUAUGAGAGAUGAUGCCACGGUGCGAUUUGCCUGCCUCGGGCAAGAUCGGGUUGGACAUCGAGGUGCCCGGGACCCCUCCCCGCAGCAGCCAGACUCCCCGCGGCGGAGGGGGCCCUGGGAACGCAGGGGCGCCCGCUCUUGGAGGUGAAAGCCCACGUGUCUCGAACUCGCCUCCCCCACCCCAAGCUCGGCCAAACCGGUCUCCCGCUCAGAAGGAGGAAUUCGAUCAAAUGUUAAUCCUCUCCACAUGUAGAAUAUUCCAGAUAGCCCCGAGCUCAUAGUGCCUUUUGAACUUGUGAACAGAAAUUGAUUCAAGGUGACGAAUUUGUAAUCAGUUUAUGAUUGAUGGGCCGCGUUUCCAGAAAGGCAGCUCUGUGUCCUUUCCUCCUUCCCGGGAAGCAAAUGUGUUUCACUUUAUCUGCCCUCAUCUCAGGACCCGGAGGACCAGGAGAAAGAAAAUAAAGUCGACUGCAAUAUUUAACUUG